AGUCGUAACAAGGUUUCCGUAGGUGAACCUGCGGAAGGAUCAUUAGAAUGAGAGCCGGACCAUGUCGUGGGCCGAAAGCUCGCACGUGCCAGUAAGCGCCCGUAAACCUCCACCCUUGUGUAUUAUUCUUCUGUUGCUUUGGCAGGCCGCGACCCUCUGGGGGCAGCGCUGCGUCGGCUGAGGUCGCCUGCAGACGAACAAUCUGUAAUUUAAUGCCGUCUGAGUACUACGAAAAUAGUUAAAA
RNAcentral lists this unclassified non-coding RNA (244 nucleotides) under plant metagenome. RNAcentral describes it as "partial contains small subunit ribosomal RNA and internal transcribed spacer 1". The stretch from base 1 to 45 matches the Rfam family "Eukaryotic small subunit ribosomal RNA", at positions 1787 to 1831 of the family's 1831-position model. The record is from RNAcentral.